GGGUGCGAUCAUUUCAGCACUAAUGCACGGGAUUCCAUCAGAACUCAGAAGUUAAGCGUGCUUGGGUAAGAAUAGUUCUAAGAUGGGCUUGUCUAAUGACUUUCAUAGAUUCAGGCU
This 117-nucleotide ribosomal RNA is filed under the name Cephalotus follicularis. The record is from RNAcentral. Lineage: Eukaryota; Viridiplantae; Streptophyta; Magnoliopsida; Oxalidales; Cephalotaceae.